CCUACGGGUGGCAGCAGUGAGGAAUAUUGGUCAAUGGACGAGAGUCUGAACCAGCCAAGUAGCGUGAAGGAUGACUGCCCUAUGGGUUGUAAACUUCUUUUAUAAAGGAAUAAAACUGACUACGUGUGGUUAUAUGCACGUACCUUAUGAAUAAGCAUCGGCUAACUCCGUGCCAGCAGCCGCGGUAAUACGGAGGAUCCGAGCGUUAUCCGGAUUUAUUGGGUUUAAAGGGUGCGUAGGCGGGUAUUUAAGUUAGUUGGGAAAGCUUGGGGCUUAAACGUUAAUUGGCAAUUGAUACUGGAGUACUAGAGUACAGACGAGGUAGGCGGAAUAAGUGAAGUAGCGGUGAAAUGCUUAGAUAUAACGUAGAACCCCGAUAGCGAAGGCAGCUUACGAGACUGUGACUGACGUUGAAGCACGAGAGUGUGGGUAGCGAACAGGAUUAGAUACCCGUGUAGUC
This 460-nucleotide ribosomal RNA is filed under the name uncultured bacterium. Its description in RNAcentral is "partial 16S ribosomal RNA". It matches the Rfam family "Bacterial small subunit ribosomal RNA", at positions 338 to 795 of the family's 1533-position model. The record is from RNAcentral.